Molecule: ribosomal RNA, 472 nt
Filed under: uncultured bacterium
Lineage: Bacteria
Description: partial 16S ribosomal RNA
Rfam family: Bacterial small subunit ribosomal RNA
Source: RNAcentral
GUCCAGACUCCUACGGGAGGCAGCAGUUAGGAAUAUUCGUCAAUGGGGGAAACCCUGAACGAGCAAUGCCGCGUGAAGGAAGACGGUCCUAUGGAUUGUAAACUUCUGUUGUUAAGGAAGAACGACCCAAGUAGGAAAUGACUUGGGAGUGACGGUACUUAUCAAGAAAGCUCCGGCUAACUACGUGCCAGCAGCCGCGGUAAUACGUAGGGAGCGAGCGUUAUCCGGAUUUACUGGGUGUAAAGGGAGCGUAGACGGAAAGGCAAGUCAGAAGUGAAAACCCAAGGCUCAACCAUGGGACUGCUUUUGAAACUGUCAAACUAGAGUACGGGAGAGGUAAGAGGAAUUCCUAGUGUAGCGGUGAAAUGCGUAGAUAUUAGGAGGAACACCAGUGGCGAAGGCGUCUUACUGGACCGAAACUGACGUUGAGGCUCGAAAGCGUGGGGAGCAAACAGGAUUAGAUACCCCGGUA